RNAcentral lists this long non-coding RNA (440 nucleotides) under Ananas comosus (pineapple). RNAcentral's name for it is "long non-coding RNA (ACOM_LNC017088)". The record is from RNAcentral. Lineage: Eukaryota; Viridiplantae; Streptophyta; Magnoliopsida; Poales; Bromeliaceae.
UAAUAGCUCGUUUCGAACGGUUUGGUUAUUCUAGAACCGAUGGCGCUGACGGAUUUUGAGUUUGACGCAUGGAUUUCGAGAAAAUCCGAAAAUACGUGUUUUAUAUGUAUUUGUGCGUCAUUUUGGCCUUUCGGAGAGAGAACGGAUUUCGUCGCGAAUCCGUGAUCGAUCGAGGUGAACCAAAAUUGUAGGUUUGUUGUCUCAGAUGUGCUGAUCGCACUGGCGUGAUCCGUUCACAAAUCUGACGGACGGAUCUGCGGAGAUUGCGCGUUCAUCGAGGAGAGGUUGGUGAUCGCAAAACGGUAAUUUUGCAAAAGUUGCGACAUUUUAUGUACUGUUUCGCGUGAAACCGGACGUGGAGGGGUAUUCGCGUGUUUUACACGCGCUGUGGAGGACUCAGUAAGUAAAUCUGAGUUUCGGAGGACUUAUUUGUAUUUUUG